This is a long non-coding RNA of Gossypium arboreum, 246 nucleotides long. RefSeq lists it as uncharacterized. The transcript is spliced from 2 exons. The record is from RefSeq and is a predicted model, not a curated record. NCBI's taxonomy places the organism in Eukaryota, Viridiplantae, Streptophyta, Magnoliopsida, Malvales, Malvaceae.
UUUUAUAUUAUAGAUCAAGAAUCCAAAGAAGAACGAGGAAAAGAAAAAGUAAAGGACUAAAGUGUAAGGUUUAGUCACAUUUUGUAUCAAGUACUUAUCUAGUCACUCGGGGAUCGAAGGAAAUGUCGGAGGCCGAUCACACUAUCAAAGAAAUAACUCGGUAUAACUAGACGUUUUGUUUUGGGUAUGGCAUGUAUAGAAACUUAGCUACUUUUGGUAUAAUAUGAAUAAUGAAUGAUGUGUAAA